GAUGAAGAACGUAGCGAAAUGCGAUACGUAGUGUGAAUUGCAGAAUUCAGUGAAUCAUCGAAUCUUUGAACGCACAUUGCACCUCUCGGUAUUCCGGGAGGUAUGCCUGUUCGAGCGUCAUUUGUACCCUCAAGCUCUGCUUGGUGUUGGGUGUUUGUUCCGCCUCUGUGUGUGAACUCGCCUCAAAACAAUUGGCAGCCGGCGUACUUGUUUCGGAGCGCAGCACAUUUUGCGAUCCAGAUCAACGUACAGCGGCAUCCAAGAAGCCUUAUUUAACGCUCUUGACCUCGGAUCAGGUAGCGAUACCCGCUGAACUUAAGCAUAUCAAUAAGCGGAGGA
This 339-nucleotide unclassified non-coding RNA is filed under the name soil metagenome. RNAcentral describes it as "partial contains 5.8S ribosomal RNA, internal transcribed spacer 2, and large subunit ribosomal RNA". The stretch from base 1 to 120 matches the Rfam family "5.8S ribosomal RNA", at positions 35 to 154 of the family's 154-position model. The record is from RNAcentral.